Paramuricea clavata is the source of this 73-nucleotide non-coding RNA. Lineage: Eukaryota; Metazoa; Cnidaria; Anthozoa; Malacalcyonacea; Plexauridae. The record is from the annotation of a GenBank genome assembly.
UCCCGCGUAGCUCAGUUGGCAGAGCAUUGGGCUAGUAUUCCAAAGGUCGUAGGUUCGAUUCCCACCGUGGCCG